RNAcentral lists this transfer RNA (71 nucleotides) under Actinomadura yumaensis. Its description in RNAcentral is "tRNA-Ala". It matches the Rfam family "tRNA". From Rfam's summary of the family: Transfer RNA (tRNA) molecules are approximately 80 nucleotides in length. Lineage: Bacteria; Bacillati; Actinomycetota; Actinomycetes; Streptosporangiales; Thermomonosporaceae. The record is from RNAcentral. RNAcentral also lists the same sequence under 1 other name.
GGGCCCGUGGUGUAACGGGAACACGACUGCCUUGCACGCAGCCGACCAGGGUUCGACUCCCUGCGGGUCCA